GGGCCGUUAGCUCAGCGGUAGAGCAGGAGCCUUUUAAGCUCUUGGCCGCAGGUUCGAAUCCUGCACGGCUCA
RNAcentral lists this transfer RNA (72 nucleotides) under Candidatus Levyibacteriota bacterium. RNAcentral's name for it is "tRNA-Lys". It matches the Rfam family "tRNA". Rfam says of the family: Transfer RNA (tRNA) molecules are approximately 80 nucleotides in length. Their secondary structure includes four short double-helical elements and three loops (D, anti-codon, and T loops). Further hydrogen bonds mediate the characteristic L-shaped molecular structure. tRNAs have two regions of fundamental functional importance: the anti-codon, which is responsible for specific mRNA codon recognition, and the 3' end, to which the tRNAs corresponding amino acid is attached (by aminoacyl-tRNA synthetases). tRNAs cope with the degeneracy of the genetic code in two manners: having more than one tRNA (with a specific anti-codon) for a particular amino acid; and 'wobble' base-pairing, i.e. permitting non-standard base-pairing at the 3rd anti-codon position. The record is from RNAcentral. Lineage: Bacteria; Candidatus Levyibacteriota.